This 490-nucleotide ribosomal RNA is filed under the name uncultured bacterium. RNAcentral's name for it is "partial 16S ribosomal RNA". It matches the Rfam family "Bacterial small subunit ribosomal RNA", at positions 29 to 507 of the family's 1533-position model. The record is from RNAcentral.
AUUGAACGCUGGCGGCAGGCCUAACACAUGCAAGUCGAACGGUAACAGGAAGCAGCUUGCUGCUUCGCUGACGAGUGGCGGACGGGUGAGUAAUGUCCGGGAAGCUGCCUGAUGGAGGGGGAUAACUACUGGAAACGGUAGCUAAUGCCGCAUAAUGUCGCAAGACCAAAGAGGGGGACCUUCGGGCCUCUUGCCAUCGGAUGUGCCCAGAUGGGGUUAUCUUGAUGGGGGGGUAACGGCCCACCAAGGGGACGAUCCCUAGCUGGUCUGAGAGGAUGUCCAGCCCCACUGGAAAUGGGAAACGGUCCAGACUCCUACGGGAGGCAGCAGGGGGGAAUAUUGGACAAUGGGGGCAAGCCUGAUCCAGCCAUGCCGGGUGGGUGAAAAAGGCCUUCGGGUUUUAAAGCCCUUUUGGGGGGGAAGAAAGGAAGAAAGUUAAAACCCUGGUCUUCUGACGGUACCCAAAGAAAAAGCACCGGGUAACUUCGUG